GACGAACGCUGGCGGCGUGCUUAGCACAUGCAAGUCGAACGGAAAGGCCCUGCUUUUGUGGGGUGCUCGAGUGGCGAACGGGUGAGUAACACGUGAGUAACCUGCCCUUGACUUUGGGAUAACUUCAGGAAACUGGGGCUAAUACCGGAUAGGAGCUCCUGCUGCAUGGUGGGGGUUGGAAAGUUUCGGCGGUUGGGGAUGGACUCGCGGCUUAUCAGCUUGUUGGUGGGGUAGUGGCUUACCAAGGCUUUGACGGGUAGCCGGCCUGAGAGGGUGACCGGCCACAUUGGGACUGAGAUACGGCCCAGACUCCUACGGGAGGCAGCAGUGGGGAAUAUUGCACAAUGGGCGGAAGCCUGAUGCAGCAACGCCGCGUGCGGGAUGACGGCCUUCGGGUUGUAAACCGCUUUCGCCUGUGACGAAGCGUGAGUGACGGUAAUGGGUAAAGAAGCACCGGCUAACUACGUGCCAGCAGCCGCGGUGAUACGUAGGGUGCGAGCGUCGUCCGGAUUUAUUGGGCGUAAAGGGCUCGUAGGUGGUUGAUCGCGUCGGAAGUGUAAUCUUGGGGCUUAACCCUGAGCGUGCUUUCGAUACGGGUUGACUUGAGGAAGGUAGGGGAGAAUGGAAUUCCUGGUGGAGCGGUGGAAUGCGCAGAUAUCAGGAGGAACACCAGUGGCGAAGGCGGUUCUCUGGGCCUUUCCUGACGCUGAGGAGCGAAAGCGUGGGGAGCGAACAGGCUUAGGUACCCUGGUAGUCCACGCUGUAAACGGUGGGUACUAGGUGUGGGGUCCAUUCCACGGGUUCCGUGCCGUAGCUAACGCUUUAAGUACCCCGCCUGGGGAGUACGGCCGCAAGGCUAAAACUCAAAGGAAUUGACGGGGCCCCGCACAAGCGGCGGAGCAUGCGGAUUAAUUCGAUGCAACGCGUAGAACCUUACCUGGGUUUGACAUGGAUCGGGAGUGCUCAGAGAUGGGUGUGCCUCUUUUGGGGUCGGUUCACAGGUGGUGCAUGGCUGUCGUCAGCUCGUGUCGUGAGAUGUUGGGUUAAGUCCCGCAACGAGCGCAACCCUUGUUCACUGUUGCCAGCACGUUAUGGUGGGGACUCAGUGGAGACCGCCGGGGUCAACUCGGAGGAAGGUGGGGAUGACGUCAAGUCAUCAUGCCCCUUAUGUCCAGGGCUUCACGCAUGCUACAAUGGCUGGUACAGAGAGUGGCGAGCCUGUGAGGGUGAGCGAAUCUCGGAAAGCCGGUCUCAGUUCGGAUUGGGGUCUGCAACUCGACCUCAUGAAGUCGGAGUCGCUAGUAAUCGCAGAUCAGCAACGCUGCGGUGAAUACGUUCCCGGG
RNAcentral lists this ribosomal RNA (1343 nucleotides) under uncultured bacterium. RNAcentral describes it as "16S ribosomal RNA". It matches the Rfam family "Bacterial small subunit ribosomal RNA", at positions 28 to 1378 of the family's 1533-position model. The record is from RNAcentral.